Molecule: unclassified non-coding RNA, 215 nt
Filed under: rhizosphere metagenome
Description: partial ribosomal RNA internal transcribed spacer region
Source: RNAcentral
GAAUUUUAGGGUGCUCUUGCUCCUCCUCUUAACAAGGAGCGAGUUAAGAGGCCUGACCUCCACUCUCCAACACUGUGCACUUUUUCUGCUUGAGUUCUUCUUACACACUAGUUGUGAUUUGCAAGACUCUUGUGGCUUUUUAAUUUAAACACGAGUCAAAGAAUGUAAACAAAACCAUAACAAAAAAAACUUUCAACAACGGAUCUCUUGGCUCU